CUAUAGAUGAUCGCAGCAAUGCCCGAGGUUCUAAAAUAGCCACGUAGUCGCCUAGCCUCAACCAGUAUCCACUCAAGCAGGAUCUUGAUCAUCUUCUCCUUAUAAAUCUUUACUCUAAAAAUCAGAUCUGGAAGAUCUUCAAAAGAUCUUCUGAAGCUGGAGCAGCAGCUUCUUGACAAAUCUCUAUAGCCUUCUAAUCAGGAAGCCACCACG
RNAcentral lists this long non-coding RNA (213 nucleotides) under Elaeis guineensis (African oil palm). RNAcentral's name for it is "long non-coding RNA (EGUI_LNC082049)". The record is from RNAcentral. Lineage: Eukaryota; Viridiplantae; Streptophyta; Magnoliopsida; Arecales; Arecaceae.